This 454-nucleotide ribosomal RNA is filed under the name uncultured bacterium. RNAcentral describes it as "bacterial SSU rRNA". It matches the Rfam family "Bacterial small subunit ribosomal RNA", at positions 28 to 502 of the family's 1533-position model. The record is from RNAcentral.
GACGAACGCUGGCGGCGUGCUUAACACAUGCAAGUCACGGGGGGUCGCAAGACCAACCGGCGAACGGGUGCGUAACACGUGAGCAACCUACCGAUUUGAGGGGGAUAGCUGGCCUAACGGCCAGGUAAUACCGCAUACGCUUGUAAAGCCUCCUGGCUUAACAAGGAAACCUCCGGGGCAGAUCGAGGGGCUCGCGGCCUAUCAGCUAGUUGGUGAGGUCAUAGCUCACCAAGGCGACGACGGGAGCUGGUCUGAGAGGAUGGCCAGCCACAUUGGGACUGAGAAACGGCCCAGACUCCUACGGGAGGCAGCAGUGGGGAAUCUUGCGCAAUGGACGAAAGUCUGACGCAGCGACGCCGCGUGGGGAUGAAGGCUUUCGGUUGUAAACCCUGUUGCCGGACGAACGACCUCUUCGAGAGGUGUGACGGUACCGGUGAGGAAGCACCGGCUAACU